Molecule: transfer RNA, 73 nt
Filed under: Stegodyphus mimosarum
Lineage: Eukaryota; Metazoa; Arthropoda; Arachnida; Araneae; Eresidae
Rfam family: tRNA
About the family: Transfer RNA (tRNA) molecules are approximately 80 nucleotides in length.
Source: Rfam by way of RNAcentral
GCCUUCGUGGUGUAGUGGUCAGCACACCCGGCGCGAAAUCGAGGGGUCUGUGGUUUGAAUCCCGACGAAGGCA